Long non-coding RNA from Vidua macroura (Pin-tailed whydah), 2088 nucleotides. RefSeq lists it as uncharacterized. The transcript has 3 exons. The record is from RefSeq and is a predicted model, not a curated record. Lineage: Eukaryota; Metazoa; Chordata; Aves; Passeriformes; Viduidae.
CAGAGGAAUCCUGCAAAAAUCAACUUUAUUUGAAUAAAGGGAGAGAGCCAGUGGGUCAUACCCCUGUGGGGUUUCUCUCAACUUUCCCCAGGUACAGCCUUCCCAAACCAUAUCCUACACAUUCCCCCCUGAACGUGUGUCCCUCCCUCAUUGUGCACUGCCUGACCAUUAAAAUUAACCAUCAGCCCACCCUGGGAGGAGAAGUUAAUACUCAUAAGUCUGUUAGGUCUGUGCAUUUUUCCCCAAAGUUCAGAAGUUCAGGCUGUGCUUCGCUCUGCAACAAAUGCAGGGCUUGAUGUAGGUAAAGACCCCCACUCCCAUUCUUCCAGAGCCUGGCAGGUCCUUUCAGAUCAAGCCUUUUGUAAAGACUUUAAACCCAUUUCUCCUAUCACAUAUGCAUAGAUGUACAUGUUUAUGGUUGGCAUUUUUUUUUCCUACCUUUAAUUUUACAGAAUAGUGAGAACAAUGAGAAAUUUUAUAAAUACCAGAAUAUAGGCCAUAAUAUUUGACUUUUUUAAACUUUAAUCACAUCCAGAUAUUGAGAAUGAGGAAACAACAGGGUUGUCAUACCUAGUAGGACGAAGAGGCAGUGGGAACAAACAUGGACUGAUCCAGUGGCAUGCAGCUGUGAUGGAAGGACAUCCUGGUUGCUCUGCACAGCUUUACCUGGGUGCAUGUGAAAAGUCUUCAUUUGAAAGUUUGCUAAGCAACAAAUCCUUCAAAUAGAACAGGUUGCAACUCUGCUCUGCCUGGAAAGUACACAUGCAUGAAGAAACUGGAGAGCUGCUUCAUCAGUGCCAAUCCAUACUGUGGCUGGUCUCAUGAAAAGGAUCUUAUUGAUGAAUUAGAGCAGCAACCCUCCCAGCCAUGGAAGAAUACCUCAUACAAAAAAAUCCAUAGGUGACUAAUAGGUGUGGUAAGCAGCCUGUGAGAUUUGGGAGAAACAUUCUGGUAUACCUGGAAAUCAACCUAGAUCUAAAUUACCUGCCAUUGUGGAUAUUUUAGUCUUAAUUCAUGGUUUUCUACCACAUUUCAGAAUGUAUCCUUUAUCUGAACAGCUUUGCUUUCUUGUUUGUUUGUUUUUUAUGUUUGUCAGUCAUUACACAGUGCUAUUUAGAAUCAAUUUAGCACCCUUCCACGUGUUGAGUGGUUGUGGUGAGUGAUGAUUGCAGGAUUAGCCUGCUAGUAAUUAAAUGUUGCUGCCUCUUAGCUUGAAAAUGAAACAUCUCUAUGGAAUGUAAGUGUUUCUUGCUUUAUUUAGGUUGGGCAUGUCUAAAUAGUAUGGGUAGGUUCUCCAAGUCAGUGCAGGCACAGUGCAAUCAUAAAAUAAUAAAUUAAAAAAACAAAAUGAAGAAGGGGGAAGAGGAGAGAGAGAGAGGAAGAAGAGAAGAAGAAAUUGAGAGAAGGGAAACAAAUUCAACCAAUCAUUAAAACUUUGAAUUGCAUGGGAAAUUUUCUACACUUUGCUGAAUCUUGGGUGUAAUUUCCUAAUUUUGGCUUUGGGCUAUCCAGGUAAAAGUUUCCUGUCUGGACUCAUUUUUACUCACAGAUAGGUCUUCAAAAUUUGUAAGUGUUAAGUUGUGUAAAAUAGGAUGUGUUGCCUGUUUGUUGAAGCCUAGAGGGGUACCUGUCUCAGUAAAGCAGAGGCUGGGUUCUUUACCAUUUGUGGACCCACUGAAUGCUUGAUUUUCAUAUUGGCUUUACCAGUAUGAAGAGUGUUACCUCUUGAAUUCACUGAUUAAUGUUCUAAGCAGAAUGAAGCCCUUCUUUAUUUUUCUCAAAAUCCACUACCAAAAAUCACACUAUUUCAGCAUUCAAAGACAGUUCUUUGCUUCUUCAAAGACUUGUUAGACUGAUCUGUCCCAUGCUCCUCACAGGACUGUAGCAGUAUAACCUCAUAUGAUACAAAUGCUGAGCUUCUGUUUGAAAUAAUAGGGAUGAUGCCUAAUCCUGAACAGACCUCAGAAGGAUUUUAAAUAAAGGUUGUCACUGAGAGGCCUGUAAGCUGCCCUCACUUAGUUCUGUCUGGCCUGUGUUAGGGUGAAGAUGAAGGCAUUUGAAUGUCUUAAUCGAAGCAGAGCGUGAGCU